GGGAAACAGAAGCUAAGAUAAUAGAAGCCCGCAGUCAUCCAGUUUUCUACCUGAGAGUUGGACGCAAUGGUUACGGCGAGAACCCCUGCCUCCUCAGCCUCAUCCGUAGUGCUUGUUACCAGCUUCUCCCUCAGCCACUACAUCUGUGUAGUAGUUAGGCAGGGAUCGUCAGAGAAGACUUCCAACAUGGAUGCUGAAGAUGUGACAGUUAGUUUGUGUAGGUGUUUGGUGUUUUGAUGGCAUUGUGAGGUCGGAGUAGGGGGUGGGAAGGGGUGAGGCGCAGGGGUUAUCGAAAGAACGUUCUGGAAGGUUCGUAAUGUCAAGACGACGCACGUUGGGGAGCAUGUUCAGAGAAUUAUCGAGGGUCGAAGGCAGGAAGGAGGAUGAGUGAACCGGGAUCGAGUAAACCCGGAAUCAAGUAAACCUGGGCUUAUUUUGUUAUUAGGGAAUCCAACAGGAGACCUAUUUGGAGCCUUUAUUUUGUGGCAGACCAGUAUUUUCUUGUGAUUUGUUUUCAGUCUAUAGGGCCACUGGCUGGGAUUUAGUGGAAACCCUCCCUGAGGCAUUUGUUUCUGCGUAGUUAGUGGAGACCGAAACAGAGGUGGUGACGCAGUCCUCCACUGAGCUGUACCUCUAUGACAGCAUGGCUGGACUUGUGUUUUUCUCUCCCCCAUGUAGCUCUCCCUCUUGUUCUUUCUCUCUCUCUCUCUCUCUCUCUCUCUCUCUCCCUCUUGUUCUCUCUAUCUCUGGGAGGGAGGGAGAGCAGCAAAUAGGGUCUAAAUGUCAUGGCUCGAGUUCAGAGAGAGAGAGAAAGCGAGGGAGAGAAAGAGGGAGGGAGACGGAGACAGUGAGAAGGAGAAAUGUUUUACCUUGCUCUCUUGGUAACUCUGCACUGGCAGCUCUCCAGUUCACAUUGACUAGACUUCCUGAAGCUGCUGCAUCACAGGCCCCAGUGCCAGAGCUGGCCUCCCAUUGGGUGGGAGGAGCUCCCUAGACACUGCUGGUAGCACAAUGCUAUUGGACGGGCACAAGGGAGCAGGUGGAGGACAGCUUCUGAUUGAUGGAGAAGUAGUGUUAUUGUGUAUGGAGUUUUCUUUUCUUUUUUUGAAAGAUGUUGUAUAAGUUCUAUAGGGGUUCUAAUGAAAUGUGUACAGGUACAGUAUAUGGUUUUGUUUUUACAUUAUUGUUUCUUUUCGACGGCACAUGUGGCUGUAUUGUUUGUUCUCUUCUGAAAGGAGUGGAAACAUUAUGUGCACUGUAGGUACACACAUGAGUGUGUAUCUGUUUGCUAGUUUCCAGUAAUGUCUUGUGUAAUCUGUUCUCACAGUCUGAUUGGUUUGUGUUCUGUGUUGCUGACAUUGAUCAGCUCCUGUCUGUUUCCUGUGACACUGGGGGGCCAACCACAGUCAACUUCCUGCUCUGUCCAGCUUCCCCUUCCCUUCCCAGAUGAGCCAGCUUCUCAGUCUCUUAAUAGUGUUUGGUUUGGUUGCUGUAGUACGGUUACGGUCCCUGAGACCGAGGGUUCUCUGAGCUGGCAUUCUGUGAUGUCACAAACCUGCCACAUUGGCCAUUUCUAAAUUGAUGGAAGAACAACUGUUUGCCAAGGGUCUGCAUUGCAGCUGCUGCUGCUGCAGUUGGCACCACUCUUUCGCUCUCAGGAACACUCAAGCGUGCACACACACUCGGUUUUUACGAAACGAAGGCAAUACACACGCUCAAACACACACACUGAGUCUGUCUUACGCAGACGGCCCUCAUCUCGGAGGUUGAGGGUGCUACAUCCUGGUGGCACCCCAUGGGGAAUCAUUUCUGAUGAAUGAGGAUGCAACAGGAGAGGGUUAGCCUGCCAGUGUGUGAUGGGGGCACACACAGAAAGUAAUUAGAAGGGCACAAGGAGGACACCCAUACUUGUGUGUGUCCCCAGCACACGCUGGUGUGUGUGUGUGUGUGUGUGUGUGUGUGUGUGUGUGUGUGUGUGUGUGUGUGUGUGUGUGUGUGUGUGUGUGUGUGUGUG
This is a long non-coding RNA of Oncorhynchus tshawytscha (Chinook salmon), 2014 nucleotides long. Lineage: Eukaryota; Metazoa; Chordata; Actinopteri; Salmoniformes; Salmonidae. The record is from Ensembl.